GUUUUCACCUCACUUUAUUUUUUAAGAGAGUCUUACCCUGUCGCCCAGGCUGUAGUGCAAUAGCACAAUCUCAGUUCACUGCAACCUCUACCUCCCAGGUUCAAGCAAUUCUCCUGCCUCAGCCUCCAGAGUAGUUUGGAUUUCAGGAGCCCGCCACCACACCCACCUAAUUUUUUGUAUUUUUAGUAGAGACAGAGUUUCACAAUGUUGGCCAGGCUGGUCUCAAACUCCUGACCUCAGCUGAUCCGCCCGCCUCGGCCUCCCAAAGUGCUGGGAAUACAGGCGUGAGCCACCGCUAGCCCCCUGUAUUUUAAGAUGUCUUAUUCCUCAAGCCAGAGCCAAUACAAGGAUAAGAACUGCAAAUACUUGAAACAAGAAAGGACAAGUAUGAGGACAACGCUUAAGAGAACAGAAGGUCUUUGAUAAACCUCUGCCUCCUGUAUGGCAAUGUUAACAAAUGGAAAGAUACAAUUUUGAGGGUGGUAGGACUAAGAAGUCCAAGAAUCUAAACACGGUAUCCAUGGGAGAAAAAUAAGAAAGUUAGACAUGAUUUUCUUCUGUAGAAGGCCAUAUAAAGCACAAAAUUUUUUUAAAAAGAAAAACUCAAAUUUCUUUUUAACAGUGGAUAAUUUUAAUCCUUCCCUCCAUUACUUGAGGUUGUGCUGCCAGAUUUUUUCCGGUCUAAGCCCAUCCUCCAAACUCUACAGUGUUCCUACUGCUACAAACCAAAAUUCAAACUCUUGAACAUGGCAGUCAAUACUUUCCAAGAUGUGGCCUCAAUUUAUUUUCCUGGUUCCAUCUGGAUUCCACUAUAAUUUAGUUACAUUACAUUAUUCUCUCCUUAAAUUGUGGGUUUUUUGGACUUUGCUCUCAUGGUUUCCCUGUGCUCGAAAUGGGACUAUUGCUCAAACUUGAUCAAGACUCAGCUAGCCAGGCGCAGUGGCUCAUGCAAUCCCAGCACUUUGGGAGGCCGAGGCGGGCAGAUCACCUGAGGUCAGGAGUUUGAGACCAGCUUGGCCAAUACAGUGAAACCCUGUCUUGACAAAAAAAAUACAAAAAUUAGUAGGCCGGGUGUGGUGGCUCAUGCCUGUAAUCCCAGCACUUUGGGAGUCUGAGGCAGGCGGAUCACCUGAGGUCAGGUGUUUGAGACCAGCCUGACCAGUAUGAUGAAACCCUAUCUCCACUAAAAAUACAAAAAUUAGCUGAGAAUGGUGGCAUGCGCCUGUAAUCCCAGCGUUCUGGGAGGCUAAGGCAGGAGAAUCGCUUGAGUCUGGGAGGUGGAAGUUGCAGUGAGCCGAGAUCAUGCUACUGCACUCCAGCCUGGGCAACAAGAGCGAAACGUCAUCUCAAAAAAAAAAAAAAAAAAAAAAAAAAAAAAAAAAUUAGCCGAGCGUAGUGACACAUGCCUGUAAUCCCAGCCACUGGGGAGGCUGAGGCAGGAGAAUCGCUUGAACAUGGGAGACGGCGGUUGCAGUGAGCCAAGAUCGUGCCACUACACUCCAGCCUGGGCAACAGAGUGACUCUGUCUCAAAAAACAACAAAAAAAGACUCAGCUAAAAUGCUACCUUAAUUCAGAAGUUAUUCUCAGACUCUCAAGUCAUAAUCAGUUAAUUGCUUUGCACAUUACGUUUACAAAUAUUUCCUGCGGUCAGCAACCCCCUUCUUCCAUGUCUGGAAUUCACCUAGCACUCAAUAAAGAUUUAAGCAAUAAAAGGCUUAGUUUUACAGGACCUUUCCACAAAAAGUACCAUACAGAUUGAGCAUCCCUCAUCCAAAAUGCUUGAGACAGAAGUUUUGGAUUGUGGAAUAGUUGCAUUAUACUUACCAAUUGAACAUCCCUUACCCCAAAUGAGAAAAACUCCAGUGAAUAAGUAUUUCCUUUGAGUGUCAUAUUGACACUCAAUUUUUGGAUCAGUUCAGACUUUGCAGCAUUUCGGAUUUCAGAAAAAUUGCCCAGCUAAUUUUUUAGCUUUUUUUUUUUUUUGAGAUGGAGUUUCACUCUUGUCACCCAGGAUGGAGUGCAAUGGCCGGAUCUCGGCUUACCGCAAUCUCCGCCUCCCAGGUUCAAGCGAUUCUCCUGCCUCAACCUCCCGAGUAGCUGGGAUUACAGGCAUGCACCACCAUGCCCCACUAAUUUUGUAUUUUUAGUAGAGACAGGAUUUCUCCAUGUGUGUCAGGGUGGUCUUGAACUCCCGACCUCAGGUGAUCCGCCCGCCUCCGCCUCCCAAAGUGCUGGGAUUAUAGGAGUGAGCCACUGCGCCCGGCCUUAGAAUUCUUUUGUGGAAACAAGGUCUCAUUAUGUUGCACAGACUUGUCUCGAAUUCCUGGGCUCAAGCAAUCCUCCUGCCUCAGCCUCCCAAAGUGCUGGGAUUGCAGGUGUGAGCCACCACGCCUUGCCCACAUUCUCUUUUUUUUUUUUUUUUGAGAUGGAGUUUCGCUCUUGUGGCCCAGGCUGGAGCGCAAUGGUGUGAUCUCCGCUCACUGCAACCUCUGCCUCCCGGCUUCAAACGAUUCUCCUGCCUCAGCUUCCCUAGUAGCUGGGAUUACAAGUGCAUGCCACCACUGCCCCCAAAACAAAAAUAACUUUUUUUUUUUUUAAGAUGGAGUCUCGCUCUGUCGCCAGGCUGGAGUGCAGUGGCGCGAUCUUGGCUCAACGCAACCUCGCCCGGCUAUUUUUAGUAGAAACAGGGUUUUCACCAUGUUGGCCAGGAUGGUCUCGGUCUCUUGAUCCACCCACCAUGGCCUCCCGAAGUGCUGGGAUUACAGGCAUAAGCCACCUCGCCCAGCCCAAAAAUCACUUACGAAGCAGCUACUGUAAUGUGAACUACAACCAAAUUAGUCUAGAGGAUAGUAGUAUUGAAUAAAACAUUUACAUUAAACCCAUCACUUUAUACUUUUCAAAAUACUUUUUGCAACUAUCUUGAGGGUUCUUCAACAAAAGAUAGCGCAAGUAUGAACUCCAAUUUGCAGAAGUGAGACCCAAAAAGAUUAUGGACUAUCUUUAGGUAUCUGCAGGAGCUAGGGAAGAACUAAACAUCACUGCAAGUGGCCAUCUAUGGCGCCUGUCUUUGAGGGUUCUUUAAAAUGGACUUUUGCAAACAUUAUCUCAUCCUGUACAUAAGGUUAUACAACAUUGAAUGGCCGGGGAAUUUAAGUAGAACAGCGUUUUUUAUGGGCAGGUUAGUCAGCUAAUGGAUAAGAGACUUGAAAUUACUCUUUUGGGAUUAGCAAAUAGAAGGGAAAAACAUGAUAAGGGCACAGAGCGGUGGGUCUGGGGGAAAAAGCAGAGGCACAGUUUGAAAAAAAUGUGUAAGAGACUGACUAGGUAAGAUAUGGUCACAGUUCAUAAGUCCUUUGAAUUCUAGGAUUAAAAAGGUGAACUCGAGUUAAGGAUAUGAAGUCUGGGACAGCUUUAGCUGGGUGUAGGAAUCUUGGUGUGAGGAUGAGGGCCUGCAAUUUGCAUUGUGGAUCGAUAUGCAGAGGAAGGAGGAAAUGAAACCUGAAGGCACUGCUACUGAAAAGGGGUGGAAAGGAUGAUUUUACGGUGAGCCUAAGGUUUUGCUUAAGCUUGAGGAAUAGAAAAACACACAAAGAAACGACUUGCCCAAAUCCAUUAUUGAGACGCCCCCCUCAUUUCCGGAAGUCCUUUAAAAUCGCAGAAUAUUAAUGCUGAAGCACCCUCCCCUCUACUCCUGCGCUAUGAGGUGUCUACUGUAACGCCAGUCCUUUUCCUUGGACAAAGUGGAACGCCUUACUGAAGGAGAGUCCCUGUUAAGGACAGUUACAUUCUUAGUUCUGUAGAACCUCCGUAUGUCGUAGGAUUCUCAAAUUCUAGCUAAUGAUCUACCGAUUUCAAGCCAUAUAUGGUACGAGGCAAUAGCCAUAUAAUAAAAGAACGUGGCCAGUCCCUUAGAAAUUAUCAGGUUGAAAUCGGAUUCCGUGACUCUUGCGGCGGCCUCUGGGUUCCUAAAGACUUCUGGAAAUCAUGUCUCCCUACAGGGCUAAACAGCACGCACUCGCG
Molecule: long non-coding RNA, 4021 nt
Filed under: Homo sapiens (human)
Lineage: Eukaryota; Metazoa; Chordata; Mammalia; Primates; Hominidae
Description: HSALNT0005255
Source: RNAcentral